GCUGGCGGCGUGCCUCAGACAUGCAAGUCGAACGCGAAAGUCCCCUUCGGGGGAUAAGUAGAGUGGCGCACGGGUGAGUAACACGUAGGUAAUCUACCUUCGGGUGGGGAAUAACCCAGGGAAACUUGGGCUAACACCGCAUAAUGCAGCGGCACCACAUGGUGACAGUUGUUAAAGCGGGGGAUCUUAGGACCUCGCGCCUGAAGAGGAGCCUGCGGCGGAUUAGCUAGUUGGUGAGGUAACGGCUCACCAAGGUGACGAUCCGUAGCCGGCCUGAGAGGGCGGUCGGCCACACUGACACUGACAUACGGGUCAGACUCCUACGGGAGGCAGCAGUCGGGAAUUUUGGGCAAUGGGCGAAAGCCUGACCCAGCAACGCCGCGUGAAGGAUGAAAUCCCUCGGGAUGUAAACUUCGCAAGAAUGGGAAGAAUUAGUAGGGGUUAAUACCCCCUAUGAUGACGGUACCAUUUGUAAGCUCCGGCUAACUCCGUGCCAGCAGCCGCGGUAAUACGGGGGGAGCAAGCGUUGUUCGGAUUUACUGGGCGUAAAGGGCGCGUAGGCGGUCAGCACAAGUCAGUUGUGAAAUCUCCGGGCUUAACCCGGAAAGGUCAACUGAUACUGUGCGACUAGAGUGCGGAA
Molecule: ribosomal RNA, 640 nt
Filed under: uncultured soil bacterium
Lineage: Bacteria
Description: bacterial SSU rRNA
Rfam family: Bacterial small subunit ribosomal RNA
Source: RNAcentral